RNAcentral lists this ribosomal RNA (406 nucleotides) under uncultured bacterium. RNAcentral's name for it is "partial 16S ribosomal RNA". It matches the Rfam family "Bacterial small subunit ribosomal RNA", at positions 30 to 526 of the family's 1533-position model. The record is from RNAcentral.
AUUGAACGCUGGCGGGAGGCCUAACACAUGCAAGUCGAACGAGUGGCGGACGGGUGAGUAAUGUCUGGGAAACUGCCUGCUGGAGGGGGUUAACUCCUGGAAACGGUAGCUAAUCCCGCAUACCAUCAGAUGUGCCCCGAUGGGAUUAGCUUGUUGGUGGGGUAACGGCUACCCAAGGCGACGAUCCCUCGCUGGUCUGAGAGGAUGACCAGCCACGCUGGAACGUGUAAAGGGGCCAGACUCCUACGGGAGGAAGCGGUGGGGAAUAUUGGACAAUGGGCGCAAUCCUGAGGCAGCCAUGCCGCGUGUAUGAAGAAGGCCUUCGGGUUGUAAAGUACAUUCGGCGGGGAGACGUUACCCGCAGAAGAAGCACCGGCUAACUCCGUGCCAGCAGCCGCGGUAAUAC